AAGAUGAAGUUUUCGGAUGGAAUCUUGAUUGACUGAGUGGCGGACGGGUGAGUAACGCGUGGGUAACCUGCCUCACACUGGGGGAUAACAGUUAGAAAUGACUGCUAAUACCGCAUAAGCGCACAGUGCCGCAUGGCAGUGUGUGAAAAACUCCGGUGGUGUGAGAUGGAUCCGCGUCUGAUUAGCCAGUUGGCGGGGUAACGGCCCGCCAAAGCGACGAUCAGUAGCCGACCUGAGAGGGUGACCGGCCACAUUGGGACUGAGACACGGCCCAAACUCCUACGGGAGGCAGCAGUGGGGAAUAUUGCACAAUGGGCGAAAGCCUGAUGCAGCGACGCCGCGUGAGUGAAGAAGUAUUUCGGUAUGUAAAGCUCUAUCAGCAGGGAAGAAAAUGACGGUACCUGACUAAGAAGCCCCGGCUAACUACGUGCCAGCAGCCGCGGUAAUACGUAGGGGGCAAGCGUUAUCCGGAUUUACUGGGUGUAAAGGGAGCGUAGACGGCGAAGCAAGUCUGAAGUGAAAACCCAGGGCUCAACCCUGGGACUGCUUUGGAAACUGUUUUGCUAGAGUGUCGGAGAGGUAAGUGGAAUUCCUAGUGUAGCGGUGAAAUGCGUAGAUAUUAGGAGGAACACCAGUGGCGAAGGCGGCUUACUGGACGAUAACUGACGUUGAGGCUCGAAAGCGUGGGGAGCAAACAGG
This 699-nucleotide ribosomal RNA is filed under the name uncultured Lachnospiraceae bacterium. Its description in RNAcentral is "bacterial SSU rRNA". It matches the Rfam family "Bacterial small subunit ribosomal RNA", at positions 59 to 776 of the family's 1533-position model. Lineage: Bacteria; Bacillati; Bacillota; Clostridia; Lachnospirales; Lachnospiraceae. The record is from RNAcentral.